RNAcentral lists this ribosomal RNA (254 nucleotides) under uncultured bacterium. Its description in RNAcentral is "partial 16S ribosomal RNA". It matches the Rfam family "Bacterial small subunit ribosomal RNA", at positions 524 to 776 of the family's 1533-position model. The record is from RNAcentral.
UACGUAGGGGCCGAGCGUUGUCCGGAGUUAUUGGGCGUAAAGCGCGCGCAGGCGGCCUCGCGCGCCCGACGUGAAAGCCCCCGGCUUAACCGGGGAGGGUCGUUGGGGACGGCGGGGCUUGAGGGCGGGAGAGGUCGGUGGAAUUCCCGGUGUAGUGGUGAAAUGCGUAGAGAUCGGGAGGAACACCUGUGGCGAAGGCGGCCGACUGGGCCGACCCUGACGCUGAGGCGCGAAGGCGUGGGGGAGCGAACAGG